AUGAUUGCGAAUGCCCACCUUCAGUGCUGGCUCUCUCCAGAGCAAGUGCACGUUGGUGGCUUUCCUCCAAUUCCACACCCUGUGAACCUUUGGCCUCUUGCUAGCCUCGGCUGGCAGAGGAUUUUACACAUACUCGAAUGUAAUGAAAAUUUAUUGUUGUGCGCAAGCACUAAUAUA
RNAcentral lists this unclassified non-coding RNA (177 nucleotides) under uncultured Sebacinaceae. Its description in RNAcentral is "sequence contains ITS1". The record is from RNAcentral. Lineage: Eukaryota; Fungi; Basidiomycota; Agaricomycetes; Sebacinales; Sebacinaceae.